This is an RNA transcript of Eriocheir sinensis (Chinese mitten crab), 3614 nucleotides long. It is a transcript of the gene named tRNA dimethylallyltransferase-like, with no coding region annotated. The record is from RefSeq and is a predicted model, not a curated record. NCBI's taxonomy places the organism in Eukaryota, Metazoa, Arthropoda, Malacostraca, Decapoda, Varunidae. The transcript is spliced from 9 exons.
AACAUGGCCUCCGUCCUGGGCCCAGCGCGCGCCGCCCGCCUCCCUAUAAUCGUGGUUUUGGGCGCCACGGGACAGAAAUCAAAGCUCGCCUUGGAAUUAGCAACGAGAUUCAAAGGAGAAAUAAUCAGCGCCGACUCCAUGCAGGUGUACAAGGGGCUGGACAUCAUCACCAACAAGGUCACACCCGAGGAGGCCGCCCAAGCCCCACACCACAUCCUCGGCUUCCUCGACCCCUUAUCUCGCUUCACCGUCACCGAUUUCCGCAACGCCGCCCUGCCCGUGGUGGAGCGACUGCUGGCGGAGGACAAAGUGCCGGUGAUCGUAGGCGGCACGAACUACUACAUCGAGAGCCUCCUUUGGCAUGUCCUGAUCGAUGGGGUGCCGAAGGGGAGCGACGGGAAGCUGGUCUACGAGAGGGAUAAGGAGCUGUAUAGUGGAGGUGGUAGUAGUGGGGAGAAAAAGAGAGAUUCUGUGGUUAGUGGUGACGGGUUUUUUGCGUCGAAGCGAAGUCGUGUGAGUGAUGAUGAUGUUGAUGGUGGUGAUGGUGGAAGGAACGUCACCGGUCACCAUCGCAACGCAGAAAACGGCGAGAGAGUGACGGGACGCAGUGAAAGUGAGGGAAAGGAAACGGACGAAGGAAAACAUCAUGACCAGGAAAAUGAGGAAAGUGUGCGUGUUAGUGGUGGCGAUGGCGAUGAAAGUGGCGUCCAGGAAAGUGAUAUCAAAAGUGGUGGCGAUGGAGUUUUAAGUGAUGGUGGUGAAAGUGGCGUCCGUAAAAGUGAUAUCAAAAGUGGCGGUGGAGUUUUAAGUGAUGGUGGUGGAAGUGGCGUCCAUAAAAGUGAUAUCAAAAGUGGUGGUGAUGGAGUUUUAAGUGACAAGGACAGUGGUGAUGAUGGUGGUGAAAGUGGCGUCCGUGAAAGUGACGACGGAGUUUUAAGUGAGAAAGAUUGUGGUGGUGAUACUGGUGGUGGUGUUGGUGGUGGGUUGACGGUGUGGCAGGAGACAGACACCCCCACCCAGGAGCUCUACCAGCGUCUCCGUCAAGUGGACCCGGAGAUAGCCGACACCUACCACCCUAAUGAGCGGCGGAAAAUCAUCAGGUCGCUUCAGGUGUACGAGCAGACGGGUCGGCCACACAGUCACCUGCUUAAGGAACAGAGGGGGCAGAAGGGGGGCUCGGGUCUGGGGGGGGCGCUGCGGUACCCCCACUCCCUCAUUCUCUGGAUCACGUGCGACCAGGACGUCCUCUUGAAGCGCCUGGAUGACCGAGUGGAUGAGAUGAUCGAGCGUGGCCUCCUGCAAGAACUCCUGGACUUCCACGCCUCCUACAACAGCCGCCGCCUUCAGGACGGGGCGGCGGCUGACUACACUUGCGGCAUCUUCCAGAGUAUCGGCUUCAAGGAGUUCCAUGAGUUCCUGGUGCUGCCGGAGGAGGAGAGGGAGAGCGAGAAGGGACUGAAGCUGUACGAGGCGGGGGUGGCGGCCAUGAAACUGGCCACGCGACAGUACACCAAGAAGCAGCUCAGGUGGAUCAAAAACCGCUUCAUCACGCCGUCGGACAGGAAGGUCCCGCCGUUGUACACCCUGGACGCCACUGACCCUGGGGAGUGGGAUGCCAAGGUGCGGGGGCCGGCCGAGGCGCUGGUGCAGGCCGUGAUGGAGGGCCGCGUGCCAGACCUCAAGCCAGCCAACCCGCCGCCUGACCCUGCCGCUGCCAACACGCCCAGAAACACCAAGGCGAGGCACGAGUGUGAGGUGUGCCAGCGAGUGUUCAUCGGUGACCACGUUUGGCUGGACCACCUGCACGGCGCCAAGCACAGGAAGAUGCUGAGGAGGAAGGAGGCGACACAGCAGCAGCAGCAGGAGCAGUAGCAGGCAUAGGAGGAGGAGGAGGAGUUGGUGGAGGUUGGUGUUGGUGAUGCUGCCGUCUGAGGUUGUGGUGUUGCGUGUGUUGGUGAGGAUGAUGGUGACGCGGUUCUCUCUCUUCCCUCCCAGCUUGGUAAAGGAAAGUGCCGGUGAUGGAGUUGGCCACACACUCCCACCCUAUGGCUCUGGUUUGGACCUGAUAGAAAUGAAUGACGAUGAUACUGUGAGAGUACCAGGGUGGGAUUGAGGGAGGUGGUGCUACGGAGAGACCACCAGUAGAAUGGGUCGUGAAGAGUUGGCAGGUGAGGGAAUAUUGGACUGUUUCCACGGCCAUCCCCUUGAGGAGAGAUCUUACGUGGGGAUCAGGAGUUGGACAAGUAGAUAAGUAUUGUGUGACACCUUGCUCCCUGUCAGGUGCCAUGACCAUCCAACAAGGCUACAGACCUCCUAGAGAUUGGCAGCAGAGACCACACCAUGGCAUGGAACGAGACGCCUAACACAGUUGUGGAAUGAUCCAGCUGUCAGCCAUACCUUGGGAGCUGUCUGUUGGGGAGAAGGGAAGCUGUUAAUAAACUCUAAAAAGAAAGUUAUGCUAAUGCUUCAGAGUUGGAGAAAUGUCUACAGUUCUAUCAGCCUUAAGUGGCAGUUGUGGUGUAGCACCCCCACCCCCCCCACCAGUUUUUAACUGACCUGUUUUGUGUGCUCCUAUUCACCCUUCUCACUUUAACCCUCUCGUGCACGUUGAUGCGUUUUGCGUCAUCAGAGGGUAAAAGGUCCUGCCGCACAGCACAUAACAAGUUUAAAUGAUUGAUUAAAAAUUAAAUUUUCAGUGAAAGUUCAUCAAAUUUGGGAGUGUCAUUUGUUAGGAUAAGUUUCUUAAUGGUAACGUAUGGCAACCUUUCUAAGAAGUGUAGAGCGAUUUUUAGUUGUUAGCCUACUCUGACGGGAGAGGAAAAAAAUAGUUUUCUUUAUGUAACUUGGGAACUAAUAAGCAUAUGAGGAUUUUUAGGAUACCAUAAGAAUCCUCACUAAAUUCCGUUUCGAAGCAUAUAAAAAUGGAAGCAUAUAUUCAGCUAAAGAAGUUGGCCCACAAAAUUUUGAGUAGCGAGUGGGGAAGAGUUGAUACUUCGGAUUUAUUGUCUCCAAUACUCUAUAAAAGUUUGUAUAGUUUAUUUUCCUCUAUUUUUAUUUGUGCAUGUUCUAGGACAAGUCUUUAUGAAGCCAUUGAUACCAAAUUUUAUUGGGGUAUGAUGUAUCUGUGAGGGUAAAAUACGUCCGGCGGCGGUGGCCAAAAAAGACCGGUCGGGCCUGAGAAAUGCAUGGUGAGUGGAACAGAAACUUAUGGUGCACGAGAGGGUUAACUUUUAGAUACUAAAAGCCUUUAUGUUUAUGUAUGAUUUGUAUUUUGUUAGCACAUACAAAGAACUUUGUUAAACAUCACCACUCUGGCCACCUCCUCUGACCCAGGUCCUGUCAUUCUAUAGGGAUGAACCCAAUAUUUGAUCAAAAUAUGGCAGACAGUGCACCCAUGUGGGGUUGAAAGAGGCCAGUUGAGCUGACACCACCACAGAGGCAACAUUGCAGUGUACGUACACUCGGCCCUCAAUUUAAUGGAUUAAAAGAGGGGAAGGGUGGUCCGUUGCUUGAAAAUACUUACAUACGAUAAAUACCAGUAUACAAUAAAAUUACUGUUUUGUAACAUUCAAGUACUGUACAUUAGUAUAAUAUAUUUAAUUAAAGAACUGAAA